Ipomoea triloba (trilobed morning glory) is the source of this 2232-nucleotide RNA transcript. It is a transcript of the gene named B3 domain-containing protein Os01g0723500-like, with no coding region annotated. The record is from RefSeq and is a predicted model, not a curated record. NCBI's taxonomy places the organism in Eukaryota, Viridiplantae, Streptophyta, Magnoliopsida, Solanales, Convolvulaceae. The transcript has 9 exons.
AAUGCGAAUUUCAUCAAAAUCUCCUCUCUUCUUUUGUCCUUCAACGAGUCGUUUUCAGUAAAAAAUUUCCCCCUUUUUCUCAGCUUGUUCUGAUAUUGCUCUGAGCUUUUUCAAAAUUCGCGUCCCGAUUUGGAGCGAGGAAAAUGCGGUUAAGGAAAGCUUCCGAGCUUUGAUGGGGGGUAGGGCUUUGGAUUUUACUUGAAUUUUGAGAUACGGGAGAACACAGGCUUUUGGUGCGGAGAUGUCGAAUGGAAGGAAGCCUCACUUCCUCCAUGGCUUUAAUCCUUCGAUCAGCUCUGAGAAAUUGAAAAUUCCAUCUAAAUUUGCCAAACAUAUGGAUGGAGUGACAUCUGGGACUGCGUCUUUGGUGGGUCCCAGUGGAAACACAUGGUAUGUGGGUGUAAGUCAGCUUGAUGGUGGCUUAUUCUUUCAUGAUGGAUGGACAAUAUUUGUUAAGGAUCACUGUUUGGAGUAUGGGGAUUCCUUGGUUUUUAGAUAUGAUGGUGAUUUUCAUUUCCAUGUCCAAGUUUUUGAUGAGGGUUCAUGUGAGAAAGAAGUUGCAUUUUGUGCUGAUUGCAGUCAAGAUGUAACCAACUUUGAAAAUCAUGCAAUAAAGAAAAGAGAUAGGAAGAGCUUAGGUUUAUUAGACUGCAUUGCCGAAGGUGUCCCAAAGAGAAUGAGAAGCACUGAAAUCCAUUCUGAAUGUCAAACUAGUGGCCAGGAGAAUCAGGUCACAUCUAGCAAGGAAGAAUACUUGUGUGGAGAACUGGUUUGCUUGAGAGAAAUGGAGAUAGAUGGAAAUCCAUUGAAAGACUUUGUAACUAUUGCCGUACCAUCUCAAGGAAAGUGUGUGUAUGAGAACUCAGUAGAUGCAACCAUUAGUAGUUGGACAAAUGAUGAAGAUGUAUGGUUGUCUACACAAGAAGCAGAGAGAGCAGCAAGAUCCUUCACAUCAAGUUUCCCUAACUUUACAAAAGUCAUGAAAAGGUUUAAUGUCAGUGGUUCAUUCACCUUGAAUGUCCCUUAUCAAUUUGCAACGGAACAUCUACCCAAAUGCAAAGUGAAGAUUAUGCUUCGUAAUUUAAAAGGACAGAGUUGGGUAGUUAAUUCCAUCCCAACAACACGAGUACAAACAUCGCAUACUUUUUGUGGAGGGUGGUUGGCAUUUGUUCGUGACAAUAACCUUGAUUUAGGAGAUAUUUGCAUCUUUGAACUUGUUCACAAGGGUGAAUUGCGUGUCCGGAUUCUCAGGGUGGAGAAGGAAGGGGUGAACGACCAUAGUAGUGUCACUGCUCAUAAGACUGUAUCAAAUGAAAAAGGAAAACACAGAAGUACAUUGAAGAGCUCUUUCUUACAUACUCAAUUGAAUGCUACUGGUGGACAAUCAGUUACUCGGAAAGGCACCAGUUCUCAAGACAAACUAGGUUCUUCCACUAAGGGCUGUAUGUCAUUAAAGUCAGCACCUGAAGAAAAAAUAGCUGCUCAAGCUUUCAUUUCUAGCUUUCCGCAUUUUGUUAGAGUCAUGAAGAAGUUCAAUAUUAGUGGCUCAUACACCUUGAAAGUCCCAUAUCAGUUCUCUAUGGAGCAUCUACCAAACUGCAGAACAAAAAUUAUCCUCCGUAAUUUAAAAGGACAAAGCUGGACAGUAAAUUCUAUCCCAACAACUAGGGUGCAAACACUGCAUACAUUCUGUGGAGGAUGGAUGGCCUUUGUUCGAGAUAAUGACAUCCAAAUGGGAGAUAUCUGCAUUUUUGAGUUGGUUGGGAAGUGUGAAAUGCGUGUACAUAUUUGUGCAAUUGGGAAAAAAGGUUUGGAUUACCAAAAUGGGAGCAUUUGACAUGGCUACAAACAAGAGACCUCAGGAUAAUUUUGAUUGCAGGCUGGUCUUCAACUCUCCAUUUUGUAAAGGUGAAAACUGGGGCCACAUGUUGCUGGACGUUAUGCGGGAAGAUGUGCAUGGAAGAUGACUACGAGGAUAUCAUCAAUUUGACGUCUGAAUUUUGUUGUUUUUGCUGACAUAUGUGGUUGAAACUUUACAUAUGAUUAAUUGUGUAAACUAUGUCCAGGUCACUUUUGUAAGUAAAGAUUAUGUGUAGUGUAAUUAGUGCCGGAGAUUGCGAGUCCAGCUCUGUACAGAAGAAAGAAUUCGCAGCUAUUUGAAGGACAAAACUUGAAAAGUCCAAAAAAAGAUGAAGCUUUCAAAUCAGUAAUAAGUACUCCGUAUUUUGUCAA